CAACAGCUAGAGUUUGAUCCUGGCUCAGGAUGAACGCUGGCGGCGUGCCUAACACAUGCAAGUCGAACGGAGUUUUGCGAGGAAGUUUUCGGAUGGAAUUGCGAGACUUAGUGGCGGACGGGUGAGUAACGCGUGGGAAACCUGCCCUGUACUGGGGGAUAACACUUAGAAAUAGGUGCUAAAACCGCAUAAGCGCACGGGACCGCAUGGUCUUGUGUGAAAAACUCCGGUGGUACAGGAUGGUCCCGCGUCUGAUUAGCCAGUUGGCAGGGUAACGGCCUACCAAAGCGACGAUCAGUAGCCGGCCUGAGAGGGUGAACGGCCACAUUGGGACUGAGACACGGCCCAAACUCCUACGGGAGGCAGCAGUGGGGAAUAUUGCACAAUGGGGGAAACCCUGAUGCAGCAACGCCGCGUGAAGGAAGAAGGUUUUCGGAUUGUAAACUUCUAUCAAUAGGGAAGAAAGAAAUGACGGUACCUAAAUAAGAAGCCCCGGCUAACUACGUGCCAGCAGCCGCGGUAA
RNAcentral lists this ribosomal RNA (523 nucleotides) under uncultured bacterium. RNAcentral describes it as "bacterial SSU rRNA". It matches the Rfam family "Bacterial small subunit ribosomal RNA", at positions 1 to 523 of the family's 1533-position model. The record is from RNAcentral.